UGUCCAGUAGCACCUUAGAGACCAACUAAGUUUGUUACGAAAGCUCAUACUAAGAACAAACUUACGUUGGUCUCUAAGGUGCUACUGGACA
RNAcentral lists this microRNA precursor (91 nucleotides) under Podarcis lilfordi (Lilford's wall lizard). The record is from RNAcentral. Lineage: Eukaryota; Metazoa; Chordata; Lepidosauria; Squamata; Lacertidae.